Molecule: long non-coding RNA, 3445 nt
Organism: Anas platyrhynchos (mallard)
Lineage: Eukaryota; Metazoa; Chordata; Aves; Anseriformes; Anatidae
Source: RefSeq, a predicted model, not a curated record
CACGGACAGCUGCAGCUACAAAGCACCCCAGUGACCUAGAUUCAGCUGUAGAUUACUGUCUGCUUUGGCCUGUGCCUCCCAGAGCUGCACCAGGAGUCUGAUUUUGUUGCACAAGCUAACUUGCUUACUGCUCUGACCCAUUUUACCAUAGCAACCUGGUUUGCUGUACUAGAGGCUAGAAAAAGCACGCAGGCAACUUUUUAAGGAUUCCAAGAUUAAGUUCUCUCUCUGCUCUUUUUUUCUUCUCCCCCCCACCCCCAGCCCUAUGCCCUGAAUGUGCUUAGCAGACAUGAUGAAGAUGAACUGACAGUUUCCAACAGCACUGGAAGCCAGGAAAAGAUUUAGGCAAGGGACAUCGCCCAAAUGCCAGGACUUUUCAGCUGUGAUGGAGAGAGGCUUGGCAACUACAUCAGCCAGUUCCCUCAGGACCCUGGGAUUCAUGUCAUCAGGUCCCAUAGACUUGUACCAGUUUAAAUUCAUCAGGUGGUCUUGAACCUGCUCUUCAUAUAUAUUGGGUGGGACUUUGAUCCCCCAGCUUCCAUCCACCAUCUUCCAUGGGAAGCCCAUCUACCAGUGCAGACAGAGGCAAAGAAGUUGUUGAAUACCUCAGCCUUCUCUAUUUCUGUCAUUGCCAAUUACCCAGAUAUAGAAACUCACUCCUAAUAUAGGAAAUUAGCAACCUAUAAUUGGUUACACACUACUAUUUUCACACCUCAGUCUAUUUUCACAAAUGUUAAAGGUGCAUGGUGGCCCUUGGGGACUCCUCCUGUCACCCCAGCUCAGCAGCCCAAAGGAAGCUGGGUCUUCUCUUGUGCUCUUCCUCGAGGCUCUGUGCAGAAGGGCUGCCACCUCUUACACAAGGGCUGGGGGAUGGGAAAGAAGCACCCACACAACCCUUGAGAAUGAGCAACGGAGUUCUUUAUUGCCAGGACAUCUUGCAGGUGAGCCUGCUGUAUGUCCAUGGUGUUUGGCGGCUCCAAGCUAAUGCUUGGGAUGGAGCCUGUGUGACAUGUAGGGAGCUCACCGGGCACUGCUGCAACACUGUUGGUGGACUCGGAUGUCAGAGAGUGAAGACAUGCCAGCGUAGCUGCAGGUCUGAUCCGGCCGAGGUGGAUCCACUUCCAUUGGUUCCUCCACAUCUGCUGGUGGAUCCACCUCCAUGGGCCCCACAAUGUUUGGCAGAAGGACAAGCCACUCCUUGCCUGGGACUGCCCAAAUGGGAUGCCUUCCAACUGGAAUGUUUACAGGCCAAACCAGGGGCUUGUCCACUUCCACCCCUAGGUCCCAUGCCACUGUCUGGCUGAUUCCCAUUUGUAGGUUUGAUACAGCUGUCUGGUUUAUGGCCACGGCUAGGUCCCACACUGCGUUCCAGACUAUGGGCAGGUGUCUGCUCCCUGUGGCUGUCUGCCUGAUGCUCCUGCCUUUGUCCCAUGCUGCUGUUGUGCCACUGGGAAGGACCAGGCCCCCUGUCACUGUGUGGCUGAGGGGGUGGCCUGUUCUCCACGUCGUUGUGGUGCCAGUGGUACCACCUGUAAGUGUCUGUGGGCUGUGUGCCAGAGGUACCUCGGGCACUGGUGUCAGUUGUGCCACAGGUGCUACCCCUCUGCCCAUGACACUUCUCGUUAGGUGCCUUCAUUCUCGGUGCUUCCUUGGACUGCAUUGCUGUUCUCUCACACCGAGGAGGCCUGCCUCUCGCCUUACUGCUUCUGGACUUCUUCCUGCCACACAAGCAGGCUGUCAGAGUGCUUUGAAGCUCAGAGAAUGGUGGGCCAGCUGCAGGGGUCCUGUUUUUUAGGGACUGGAGCAAAGGUGGGGCAGUGGUGGCCACUGUGACCACAGCAAGCCUCUGUGAUGGAGUGACCCACACGUGGCCAAAGGCAGCUGUGUUGGGAGCAGCCUGGAAGAUGACCUCACAUGGAAGAAAGAGGAGGGUUGGGGAGGCUGGCUCCCCUGGGUCAUUUGGCUUGCCAGAGAGAAAGGCUGCCCUUCGGCCACAAGGACUGCCCUCCACCUCCCAUCCUGUGUCCCGUGUUUAUUUUUAACACCGUUUUUUAGGUAAUUAAAAUUAAUUUUUGGAAAAGAAUAGAGUCAAGGUGCAUCUUCAGCCCUAGUUCCCAUGUGCGCUUUGUGCUCUGAGUGAAGAAUUUCUUCCUCACAUUACAUCUAAUCUAAAUCUCCCCUCCAUUUGUUCAAAGCCAUCGUUCCUUGUUUCAUCGCUACACUCCCUGAUAGAGUCCCUCUCCAGCUUUCUUAUAGGCCAAUUUUAUGGGUUAGGUUAGGUGGCAAAACUGCAGGACCUUGCAAAUUGCAGCCUUACCUACCUUAUUCCACAUAUUCUACACGAUGCUUUCCAGCUCAGGCUCUAGCCUCUCAUCAUUGUAACAUAGAAUCAUAGAAUCAUUCAGGUUGGAAAAGACCUCCAAGAUUAUCUGGCUCAACCACCCCCCUACUGUCAAUGUCACCCACUAAACCAUUUCCCUAAGCACCAUGUCCAACCUUUCCUUUCCAGGGACAGUGUCUACCAUGAUCCCCAAUACCUUUUCUGCAAACAUCACUUCUAGCCACCUGGCUUCCAGCAUCUACUAGUACAGGAGAUUUCUCUUCUCCAGAUGAAGAACCACCAAAAGUGUAGUCCAAUAAAUGUGUGUUUUGAAGAAAGAAAGAGUAUAUAACCCAAGAAUUAUUUCAUUGGUCAAUGGCACCAAAGGCUUUGUCACUGUGCAGAAAACUGAGCUGCAGCAUCAGCACCUGGCCUGAUGUAUCCCACUGCAUAAGAGAAAGAUGGACUGGCUUUUUAAAGGCAAAGAUGGGGUAUGUAUAAGACGAGGAAAGAAGAAUGGAAGCACCAAAACAGCCUUUGUGGAGUGGAAUGAAAAAGAAGCAAAGAUUUUUUUUUUUUCCUGGGGUCAAGGUAGAGUUGAUGGAGAAAAUGCAAAUGAAUUUAACCAUUCAUGCAUCUCUUCUCAUUAAUUAAUCCCUUAUGGAGUGCAUACUUUUCCAGACACAACAGGACUAUCUGUCUGUACUGCUGUACUGAAUACCUGUGAAAAAUGAGACAUGACAUCCCAUUAGAAAGAAGAUUCCCAUUCUCCCAGAGUUGUACCAGAUUAUUCAUAGAGUUGUAAGCUACCAACAUAAUCGGCUUUACACUUUACCUUUUGUGUUACAGGAAGUUAUCUCCGGGCAAACAAAUGCUUCUGAUUUUAUAGGUGAAGGAUAUGCUGCUAUUUAAAGCUUUCCAGAGCUCAUGCAUGUGACCCUUGUAUGUUAAAUUUUAUACAGAAACAACAAAGAUGUAGAAAUGUUUCACAUUUAAUAGUUCUGUGCAUGUAGUAUAAAAAGUAGUCUGGUCAAAUAAGACCAAUAUUGGAGGCUUUAGACCCCUGUAAAUCAGAUGGAGAUGUGUUAACUACACAGUCAAUAAAAAUUCAGUCUGAUAGCUACA